GUUAAAUUGGGGGAGGAAAGUCCGGGCUCCAUAGGGCAGGGUGCCAGAUAACGUCUGGGUAGUGCGAGCUAACGGCCAGUGCAGCAGAGAGUAUACCGCCGAUGACUUCUUCGGAAGAACAGGUAAGGGUGAAAGGGUGCGGUAAGAGCGCACCGCGCGACUAGUAAUAGUUCGUGGCACGGUAAACCCCACUCGGAGCAAGACCAAAUAGGUUCUCAUUAGGCGUGGCCCACGCUGAGAACGGGUAGGUCGCUUGAGCCUUGGAGCGAUCCAAGGCCUAGAUGAAUGAUCGCAGUUUCUUCGGAAAUGACAGGACCCGGCUUAUAUAGC
RNAcentral lists this RNase P RNA (330 nucleotides) under uncultured Bermanella sp. Its description in RNAcentral is "Bacterial RNase P class A". It matches the Rfam family "Bacterial RNase P class A", at positions 31 to 353 of the family's 367-position model. From Rfam's summary of the family: Ribonuclease P (RNase P) is a ubiquitous endoribonuclease, found in archaea, bacteria and eukarya as well as chloroplasts and mitochondria. Its best characterised activity is the generation of mature 5'-ends of tRNAs by cleaving the 5'-leader elements of precursor-tRNAs. Cellular RNase Ps are ribonucleoproteins. Lineage: Bacteria; Pseudomonadati; Pseudomonadota; Gammaproteobacteria; Oceanospirillales; Oceanospirillaceae. The record is from RNAcentral.